UCCAUUCUUGCGACACGACGAGAUGCGCUUCUAUCCCUAACGAGGCCCUCGUGCCAAAUUGAGGAUAGGGUCGCAUCUUGGGCGUGACAGGUUGAUGCCACUAUUUCCUAUCAUUUCGAUAUAUCUUAUGAUCAUUCACCUGUAUGCUUGGUGAUGUGUGCAUUAUAGUUCAUUCAAAUCUUUUAUACACUCCACCAAGAUGUAUGUGACAUGGAAGAGUGACCCAUGAUCCUAAUCGAAUGUGCAUCUGCAU
RNAcentral lists this long non-coding RNA (253 nucleotides) under Hordeum vulgare. RNAcentral's name for it is "long non-coding RNA (HVUL_LNC018904)". Lineage: Eukaryota; Viridiplantae; Streptophyta; Magnoliopsida; Poales; Poaceae. The record is from RNAcentral.